GUCACGGUUCCCCGAGGGCUGCAGGGCGGCCGCUCGAGCUGACACCCCGCCGACACGCAUUGGGUGAAGGCGGCCGGGUUGUCCACCUUACAGAUGCGUUUUCAUACGGCUGUGAUAGCGUAAGGCGACAGAUAGCUUCUGAUUUUGCAGUAUGAGCAAGGCUGCCCAGUGUCUGAGAAUCACAGCUUCAGGGCCGGGAACAUGCUGUGAAACCUGGAGCCCGAGUGUGGGUGUUCUGACCCAAGUUAGAAAACAGAUCUUCCUUCACCAUUCAAUAAAAGUGGUCUGCUUCCAUCCUGCAUCUGUUGCAAAGAUGGUUGGGUUGGCGCUGGCACAGCGCUCACCAACAAGCCUAUCUACCCAUCACCAUCCCACACGGGACAGCGGCUCCGCUCAGUGCAGGGAAGGAUGCCUCACCCAGCCCUGCUCUCACAGCCCCUCUGGCUCAGGGCAGUGGGAACGUGGUGGGUGUUGUGGGCCCUCAGCAAAAGCUCUGAGUUCUUCUCUCCAAUCCUUAACAGAAAUUCCUUGGCUUGCUCUCCUCAUGGAGCUGGUGCCUGCUGAAUUUGGGACUGAAGGGGAACAUCAGCACAAGGCCUUGUUCCCAAGAGUGCACAGACCUUCUAUGAGCUCAGGGCCUCUCGCCUUCCGCUCCCUGCCUGCAUUGUUACUGAGAACACAGAAAACAUGAUAUAAAUUCAGCUUCCAGCCUUGAAACCCAAAGUUGUGCUACAUUAGCUUUUUAGGUCUCUUUUCAACCUAAUGCAUUCAUCAUCCAAAAAUCAAGCACACUGAAACUGCUGUCCUUUCAAACCCUGGCAACGUUGUAAAAAUGUGUUACAUACUUUUAGAUGAAGAAAAGUUUCCAGAGAAAGCAUUGAGCGUCACAACCACUGCCACGUGCGCUUCCCCACACCUCUGCGGUGCGGAGCAGUGAGCCCUCACCUGCUCCAUGCGGAUGAGCGAGGAGCAAUGCAGCACUUCUUCCCACGUCACUCUGGUACACCACCUAGGAGUGACAUGGCCUCUGUGGAGAUCCUAGGAAGGCAGUAGCCCCGUCUGCACGGUGCCGUGCCAUGCAGAUUGAGCCCUGUGCUGGCACGUGGCUUUGACAUCGUGGCACUGGAGCCACAGCGAUGCUCGUGUGCUCCGCAUGAGCCACCUGACGGCCCUUUACACGGUGAUAUACACAGCAUCUCAGUGAGACAAGACGUCACACACUGCCCUCACAGGCGGGUUACACCUCUAGUUCAAAGAACCACCUGAAAUGAGGUGUAUGGACAUUUCCAUGCAUUGGCCCCAGGGGCUUGCCCAGAGGGCCGUGGCAGUGCUGUCUGAGGCACCGCGUCCUGCCCCUGUCCUACUCCUGGCAUCUGCUGCUGGCCUCUUGGGAGCACUGAGGCUAUGGGAAACACAGGGCCCAGGGCUUAAGCAAAAUGUAGGCUCUGUAAUUACAGCCUGAGGGUCUGCGGUGCAGUCGGGACUUGAACACAAGUCCCUUGGAACCCAGCCACUGUAGCGUUUUUUUUCUGUAUGUGUCCUUUUAAACUACUGGGUAUCUGUACUGUAUUAAAUUAUUCAUACCAUUCAGUUUCCUUUAAAGGCUGAGGAAGUCAUGAAGAUAAUCCUCUUUCUGCCGUAUGUUUCCCGUGCCCUCUGGUUCUCUCCUCUAUUCCUCUCCCCUUUCCAUGUUCUCCUGUGUCUCCUGCUUUCCAUCUGCAUUUCCCUCAGCAGCACCCAUUUCCUGUGGGUUUCAUCACCACCCCCACCUCGACUCCAUCUGUUGCAGAGAUCAGCAGUGAAGUUAACUCGUGAUUACACUCGCAGGGAAUCUCGCCAACAGAUAGUGUGGCAUUGCCGGGUAUUAAAGUGAACACCGCGAUGCCAGGAGGGGCACAGAGGAGAGAUCACUCCUUUCCCAUGCAGCCACCGCAGACAGGUGAAGCUGCAGCUUCCCAUCUCCUGGAGCAGGUGCCUUUGCUCGCAGCCAAGCUGCUGAGAGCUGCUAUGCAGCAGCCGGGCUGGCAGCCCGUGGGUCCGUGCUGUGGGAGGCUGGCAAUGCAGCAGUGGGCUGGGUGCUGACGGAGCAGCCCCGGGAGCUGCCUGUCAUUGCCCUGUCACAACAGCCUGGUGACUGGGACUUGUUAAUGUGAUAGUUUCUCUUCCUGACGUUGUUUCACCUAACCUGAACCUGCUCUGGCAAUUCACGCCAUGCUGUAAGGUCCUGCCCUUCUGAGGUGACUUCUCCCCAGGUAACUGCCAUGCAGAUGCUCAUUGCUGCUGGAGCUCCUGGACGGACAUGCUGCUCUCAACAAGGCAUAUCUCCAGCACCUGAUUCAGUUAUUCCUUUAUCUGUCAUCAUGCAUGCUUUCACAGGAGUUUGUCCAUGUAAGAGCUGUCUAAACAAUGAGCAAAUGGUUCAAAAUUUGGCUGUCUUUUAUAAAUAAUGGUUCAAAGGCUUGAUUUAGCUACAGAUGAGCCCAAGCCACAAAAACUGCUGCUGGCUCCCAGCAGCAUCAACUUGCUUUUUUCUUUCCCCAUUGUGUUUUAUUUCAGCUAGAGCCUGGCCUGAAAGUCCACGUGGAAAGACAAACUAACUGUGAACCAGAUGCAGACAUCAGUGCCCAGGGUGGAGCGCGUACCAAGAUAGCCCACUGUCACCUGCCAGCUCGCCACUGACCUUUUAUCUGCAUAAAUAGUCAUGACCUUUGGGCUGCUCAAAUUAGUGCUAGCUGCUCACCCAGGCCAGUAUCGUGGCCCCUUCGUGCACAGGCCUUCCGCUAUUUUGACUCUGUUGCCUUUGCUUGGUGAGCCAACAGGCAGGGGCUCUGGGCUCAUGGCCUCUGUAGGCUGCAGACAUCUCACUGGAGCCUUCAUCCACCACUGAGGGGCACAAAGACCAAGGGAGGGGUCCUGCCACCCGUGGUUGUGUUGUCACUUCUCUGUAGGGCAUGGUGAUCCUUCACCUGCACUCUUGCUUGGGAUAUUAGUUCGGCAUGUCCUUCAGGAGAAGUCCUGGAAGAGUUUUAAAAUCAACAAAAAGAAAUCAUUACCAAAAUGGCUACUCUUUCAGUAAGCUUCAAAAUGAGUUAUUUUGCUUAAUACAGAAGUAGUUCAUUACAUCACAGAUCCUUCUUUCCAAUAAAGUCUGUUUUAUUCAGUGGA
Non-coding RNA from Meleagris gallopavo (turkey), 3165 nucleotides. The record is from RefSeq and is a predicted model, not a curated record. Lineage: Eukaryota; Metazoa; Chordata; Aves; Galliformes; Phasianidae.